Molecule: ribosomal RNA, 589 nt
Filed under: uncultured bacterium
Lineage: Bacteria
Description: partial 16S ribosomal RNA
Rfam family: Bacterial small subunit ribosomal RNA
Source: RNAcentral
UGGGGAAUUUUGGACAAUGGGCGAAAGCCUGAUCCAGCAAUGCCGCGUGUGUGAAGAAGGCCUUCGGGUUGUAAAGCACUUUUGUCCGGAAAGAAAUCCUUGGCUCUAAUACAGUCGGGGGAUGACGGUACCGGAAGAAUAAGCACCGGCUAACUACGUGCCAGCAGCCGCGGUAAUACGUAGGGUGCAAGCGUUAAUCGGAAUUACUGGGCGUAAAGCGUGCGCAGGCGGUUUGCUAAGACCGAUGUGAAAUCCCCGGGCUCAACCUGGGAACUGCAUUGGUGACUGGCAGGCUAGAGUAUGGCAGAGGGGGGUAGAAUUCCACGUGUAGCAGUGAAAUGCGUAGAGAUGUGGAGGAAUACCGAUGGCGAAGGCAGCCCCCUGGGGCCAAUACUGACGCUCAUGCACGAAAGCGUGGGGGAGCAAACAGGAUUAGAUACCCUGGUAGUCCACGCCCUAAACGAUGUCAACUAGUUGUUGGGGGAUUCAUUUCCUUAGUAACGUAGCUAACGCGUGAAGUUGACCGCCUGGGGGAGUACGGUCGCAAGAUUAAAACUCAAAUGAAUUGACGGGGUCAUAGCUGUUUCCU